Long non-coding RNA from Eleginops maclovinus (Patagonian blennie), 2683 nucleotides. RefSeq lists it as uncharacterized. The transcript has 4 exons. Lineage: Eukaryota; Metazoa; Chordata; Actinopteri; Perciformes; Eleginopidae. The record is from RefSeq and is a predicted model, not a curated record.
ACAAUCACUACACUUGACCUGUAGGAGAUGUUGGUGGUGUUGAAGCGUUUUGAAUGCAAAUAUCAGACAUAAUAUGGCUUGCUGUGCGAUUAAUUGUACUAACAGACCGUCCAGGAAGUCUGGUCUCCAGUUUUGUCGAUCGACAUCGACGUCAUAGGUGUUAUGACUGAUGAGCAGCUAAGAGAGUAUAUAGAACAAUAUGGGGACCGACUUGAAAUCCGUGCAUUUUGUCGCCAAAAAAAUGUGAAGUCAGGAGGAGUGGAGACAGUUAAGUCUUCUCUCAUGCAAAAAGUAAGAGAGAGGCUAGGGGAAAACCAUAGGAAAACUCCUGACAACCCAGAAGAAGGCCCUGGUAUUGGAAACCAACAUGCCGUCAAAGAUACCCGGCGGGUUGAGAUGGGAUGGCUCCAUUCUGAGGACGGCACUUUUCACCAAAUAAAAACCAAAAAGGGAGGUGGAACACGACACCUUUCGGUCCGGAAAUCAAUAACGAUGAGAGAACUGCUGGAGACAGGCAAAGGCUUGUUUUUUCCAAAUGGACAUUCGUCCAAAGGGCCGAUGGCAAACUUCGAAUUUGAUAUUCGUGAUUAUAGUCACAGCACAGUAUCCCCUGAAGUCACAGUGGGCCAGCUGUACGAGCAGACCAAACUAAAGAUGUUGCGCGUCUACACAACCACACUGGCUAAAGACGUGACACCGGUAUCUGAUGCAUCAUCGGACUUUGAGCCCCCAGAGGAGAGUCCAAUGAAGACAGGAGAACCAAUCAGCCAAUCAAGACAAGCAACUCCUGUGAUGAGUAAAACAGAGGUUCUGCAUCCACCAUCUGCCAAUACUUGCCAAUCAACAAGCAGCCAUGGAUCUGAAGAUGAAUGUUUAAUGGCUGAGUCAAAUCAAGAUGCAAACCAGUCGUUAAAUUAUGAGGCAGAUCUUGCCCUUGCCAUCCAAGCAUCUCUUGAGGAAUUCGAAGUACACUUUGGACCCGUUAUUGGUGAUGAUGGGGAUAAUCAAGACUUCACCCUUCCCUGGAAUCCACAUGACUUUAACAGUAUGCAGCACUCUACACUGAAUGACGGACCUGAAUCAUCAAGCAGUCUUCCAGCUGCACCAGACCAAUCUGAAAAAGGAAUUUCUCCUUGUGAAAGUAAGACGAGUAAACAUAGUCGAUGAUGUCCUUAAUGUCUUCAUGGAACCAAAAGUAAUGAAAGCUAAUCUAAAAAUGGAGUUUACAAAUGAGAAAGCUGUGGAUAGUGAUGGUGUGUCAAGAGAGGCAUACUCCGCGUUCUGGGAACAUUUCUUGGAACAGUGUGAGGGGGAAGAAUAACGAGUACCCAGACUGCAACCAUACUAUUCCGAGAAGAAAUGGCAAGCUCUUGAAAGAGUGUGGUUGAAAGGAUACCUGGACCACAAAUUCAUGCCAAUCAGACUGUCACCAGCUUUUGUUCUAGCCUGUUGUCAAGGAGUUAGUUCGGUGGAUGAAGAAUUCUUGAUGAUGUCAUUUGCCAGAUUUCUUUCAGGGAAUGAGCGUGCAUCGCUUGAAAAAGCACUACAGGGCAACAUUGAUGAAACUGUUGAAGAGGACUUACUUGAGAUCUUCUCAAGAAUGGGCUCACACUGCCUGCCCUCUAAAGACAACUUAUGAGCUGCCAUCUUAACAAUGGUGCACAAAGCUCUGAUUCAAGAGCCUAAGUUCAUAAUUGACUGUUUCCACUCCAGUAUUCACAAUGCUGUGCUAGCACUCAUAACCAAAGAGAGCAUAAUGGAGCUUUACGAAUCUAAGAGGCCAACUAACAAGAAAGUGGCCCAGAUGAUAAAGCCACCAACUGAAAGUCUAAAUCCACAAGAGCAGACAGCUCUUAACCACCUGCUACGGUAUGUUAGAAGCAUCAACCCAAAAAAAUUUGAGAUGUUCUUACGCUUCUGCACAGGAUCCACUGUGCUGUGCAAAGACACAAUCGAAGUAACUUUUAAUAGAUUGCGUGGUUUAAGUCGCAGGCCUGUAGCACAUACGUGGAGCGUUUCUUGAGUUACCAUGCACCUACAGCUCAUACCCUGAGUUUCGUAAAAUAAUUUGACAAUAUCCUGUCUGGUGACUGCUUUACAAUGGAUAUUGUGUAGUGAAUGUAAGGGAAUUUACACAUGUCCAUCUUCCACAGAUAUUGGUAUGACAUUUUUCGGUAACAUUUUAUUUUAUGGGGUCCCAAAUACAGUGUAUCUACACCAUGAAGUGUAACAAACUGUGUAACAAUAUGUAAUAUCAUGUAUCAUGUAUGUAACCACUGACCCUUACCCUAUGUACACUGUAAAUGCAUGGUAUUAGUACACAGUUUGUUACGCUGCACUUAGGGAUUUAGAUACGUUUGAUCAUUGUAAAAUAAAGUUUUACCCAUUUGGGUUUACAUUUAGUCAGAAAGGUCUGUGAUCAUAUUUGUUCAUUCAUGUAUUACAACUAAGACAACAGUGCUGGCUACUACAAGGAGAGGAAAUGUAAUCAGAUGAACUGUUUUUAUUUUUGUUUUAUUUUGUUAUUGUAACAUUUAUUUUGCUGUGAUAUGUGCCAGUACUCUGAGUUUGGAAUUUUGCUUAAGUCCAAAAGACAGGUCUAGUUUAAUAAUUUGGACAAGUCAGAAAGGUCGGUCCGUGUAGCCUACUUAUAAAAAUGAUUGCAUACACAAAUAUUUGCAUG